CGCGGGGGGACGGCCCUGCCGGCAGCCUGCCUUGCAGGUGCGGGGAGGGCCUUGAGCGAAGACCUGCCGUCCUCCCGCCGCUCCCCGCCCUGGGCUCCGGACUACAUCAGUGGCCCCAUCCCCCACGCCCUCUGGCUUCCGGGAUCCUGACUUCCUCUAAGGUAAGGGAGGGGGGAGGCAAGGGUGGUUCCCAGCGGUCACCUGGCCAGCCUGGGACCAGAUGUGCAGGGGUCAGCCCUUGAGAGAGUGACACAGGGGUGCAGAGCCUAGAGGACAAGCAGGUGAGCUGUGCGGCAGCAUUUGGGAGUUCAGGACUGAGCUAGAGGGUGGUUUUAGGCACCAUCAGGUAUGGGAGUACUUGGAGCCACAGGGAGGGGGUGGAAGGAAUGAGGUACACGGGGCCAGGAACCCAGAGGAGAGCGGAGAAAGAAAGCAGGGUGAGCGGGGCCACAGUCCCAUCCAAACUGAUCUGUACAUCGAAUACAACUCAGCAAAAGCAGCCACAAGAUGUUGUUUUAAAGCUACAUCAACCAGUUCUAAAGUCCAGGUAGGGAAUAAAGAUGCGGGAAUAAUAGCCUGGAAGUGCCGAACAGACGUGUCCCCAAAGAAGGUGCUCAGCGUCGUUAGUCACAGGGCAGGGCAGGGCACGUCACACCACACGAGACGCCACCUCUGGUUAAAGCUGCUAUCGGAAAAGAUAGGCAGACAGAUAAAAUGAGUGCUGACCAGGAUGUGAAGGAAUUGGAACCGUGUGCACUCUUGGUGGGAAUAUGAAAUGGUGUAGCUGCUGUGGGAAACAUUAUGGCCUCGAAACCUUAAAUCCAGAAUGUUUGUAUGAUCCAGGAUUUCCCCUUCUGAGCAAACACCCGAACAGCCGUGUGUAAGUCUCCACUCACAGCAGCGUUACUCACAGUAGCCAAAAGGUGGCAGCACUCAAACGUCCUCUGAUGGACGAAUGGCUGAGCCCGCGGAGUAUUACUUGGCCUUAAAAAGGAAGUCCUGGCUCCAGCUUCAAGAGGACACUGAGCGACAUAAGCCAGUCACAAAAGGACAAACACUGGGAGUCCACGUCCAUGAGGUCCCUGGAGGGGUCAGACCACAGGGAAGGAA
Molecule: long non-coding RNA, 1110 nt
Organism: Leopardus geoffroyi (Geoffroy's cat)
Lineage: Eukaryota; Metazoa; Chordata; Mammalia; Carnivora; Felidae
Exons: 3
Source: RefSeq, a predicted model, not a curated record